Molecule: ribosomal RNA, 888 nt
Filed under: Neonectria shennongjiana
Lineage: Eukaryota; Fungi; Ascomycota; Sordariomycetes; Hypocreales; Nectriaceae
Description: eukaryotic LSU rRNA
Rfam family: Eukaryotic large subunit ribosomal RNA
Source: RNAcentral
AUAUCAAUAAGCGGAGGAAAAGAACCAACAGGGAUUGCCCUAGUAACGGCGAGUGAAGCGGCAACAGCUCAAAUUUGAAAUCUGGCCCCCGGGUCCGAGUUGUAAUUUGUAGAGGAUGCUUUUGGUGCGGUACCUUCCGAGUUCCCUGGAACGGGACGCCAUAGAGGGUGAGAGCCCCGUCUGGUUGGACGCCAAUCCUUUGUAAAGCUCCUUCAACGAGUCGAGUAGUUUGGGAAUGCUGCUCUAAAUGGGAGGUAUAUGUCUUCUAAAGCUAAAUAUUGGCCAGAGACCGAUAGCGCACAAGUAGAGUGAUCGAAAGAUGAAAAGCACUUUGAAAAGAGAGUUAAAAAGUACGUGAAAUUGUUGAAAGGGAAGCGCUCAUGACCAGACUUGGGCUUGGUUGAUCAUCCAGGGUUCUCCCUGGUGCACUCUUCCGGCCCAGGCCAGCAUCAGUUCGCUGUGGGGGAUAAAGGCUUCGGGAAUGUGGCUCCCUCGGGAGUGUUAUAGCCCGUUGUGUAAUACCCUGUGGUGGACUGAGGUUCGCGCAUUCGCAAGGAUGCUGGCGUAAUGGUCAUCAGCGACCCGUCUUGAAACACGGACCAAGGAGUCGUCUUCGUAUGCGAGUGUUCGGGUGUCAAACCCCUACGCGUAAUGAAAGUGAACGCAGGUGAGAGCUUCGGCGCAUCAUCGACCGAUCCUGAUGUUCUCGGAUGGAUUUGAGUAAGAGCAUACGGGGCCGGACCCGAAAGAAGGUGAACUAUGCCUGUAUAGGGUGAAGCCAGAGGAAACUCUGGUGGAGGCUCGCAGCGGUUCUGACGUGCAAAUCGAUCGUCAAAUAUGGGCAUGGGGGCGAAAGACUAAUCGAACCUUCUAGUAGCUGGUUUCCGC